GGAAAUUAUAUUCUGACUUCAUGGUAUUUGCCAGAAAAAAAAACAUAUUUUCAAAAAAAACCCUCGUCUUCUAACGCUAUAUUCUUCUCCUCCCCCACUGCUUCUGGUUCGAAAAAUUGAAGCUCUUGUUUUGGAUGAAAGCUACAAACGACCCUGGACAAGCAACACGAGAUUUACACCAUAGCACACAGAUCUGAGGGGAAAUCAACCCCAGUGCUAAUUUUCAAGGACGAAGCUAGAAGUUGGAAGAAGUUUCUUUCUUCUUGGCCUUCUGCCACUUUCUAGGUUCCAUAGCUGAGUUUGGAAUAGCGGUCAUCUGAAAAGAAUUUUAGUUACUUAGAAUGAGUACACAGUUCCUGCCGAAUGAGGAAUUAUUUUUGCUAAUUCAGGACAUCAUUCACACACACCAACAACAAACCUCUGUCAUUCUCCAUGAGUUUUUCCAACUGAACAAUGUUGGUAGGCGGUCGAGAGCAAACAAUCCACGAUGUUUAUUUCGUCGUUUAGCCCGCAUCCCCACCCAAGUGAGGCGUUUAAAUAGAUUAGUAGGUGUCUCUGACCGAUCUUGCUUAGAUAAUCUGCGUAUGGAUCGUAAUUGUUUUGGGAGGCUUUGUAUACUUUUUAGAGAACUAGCUGGGUUGGUCGAUGGAGCGUUUGUUAAAGUGGAAGAACAAGUAGCAAUUUUCUUAUGUGUACUGGCACACCAUAAAAAAACAGGAUAGUUAGCUUUGAAUUUUUUCGCUCCAAGCAUACGGUUUCACACUAUGUACAUGUAGUCCUCAAUGCCCUAAUAAAACUUCAUGCUCUGUUUGUUGUGAAGCCUACUCCAGUACCAGAUGAUUGUGUCGACAAUAGGUGGAAAUGGUUUAAGGCACAUACAGUUAGGUUUUUUUCUUGAGCGAAGAAUAUUCUUGCACAUACCCACCUUUAGAAUAGCAUUAAUCCUUACUAUGUGUUGUUUUGUUUGUCUUAUAGAGUUGUUUGGGUGCUUUAGAUGGCACCUACAUCACUGUGCGAGUAGACAUGGUUGACAAACCAAGAUAUCGAACUAGGAAGGGGCAUAUAGCGACAAACACUCUGGCUGCAUGCACUAGAGACAUGUGUUUUACAUAUGUGUUGCCUGGGUGGGAAGGGUCGGUUGGUGAUGCACGAGUCCUACGGGACGCCGUGACAAGCGAAUUUGGACUUAAAGUGCCUAGAGGUAUCACUUCUAAUUUGUUCAAAAUAUUUCUAGAUUUCACCUGUGUUUAUUACAUAUUUCUCCCUAUGCAAGGGUAUACAUUCUACUGACCAUUUGAAAUUUACUCGUAGGUCACUAUUAUCUAUGUGACAAUGGAUAUGCAAAUAGUGAAGGAUUUUUAACACCUUAUAAAUGAGUUAGAUACCACCUAAAAGAAUGGGGUCCAAACACUGAGAGGCCCAAGAAUCCUUGUGAAAUAUUUAACAUGUGGCAUACUAGUGCGAGAAAUGUAUUGAAAGGGCAUUUGCGGUACUUAAAAUGCGUUGGAGCAUUCUCCGUAGCCCAUCAUUCUACCCGAUAAAAAUACAAAUCAGGUUGAUUAUGGCUUGUUUUCUGUUACAUAAUUACAUUCGAGGUGAGAUGAUUGUAGAUCCAAUUGAGGAGUUAGUGGAUAAUAAUGUAGACGACAUUGGAUUGCAAGAAGAUCAUGACAAUUCAGUGUAUGUAGAUGUUAUUGAACCAACGCCUCAAUGGAAUGACCUACGGGAUCAAAUGGCUGCUGAUAUGUGGGAUGAAGUCCCGCGAAGUUCAUGAUGACGAUGAUGCCCCAAAGUGCAUGAGCAUGGUUCUUGUUUUGCUUGGUGUUAUCCUUGGAAAGAUGUUGUAGACUUUGCAUUUUGCCUUUUGUAUUUUAGUUUCUCCUAACUUAUGUACCUAAGUGAUGUUGAUCCACAUACAUUGGACCUAUUGUUGACUGAAUUAGGAGCUUGUUUAUCAUAUUUAUAUUGCUAUUAGUUUUGUUGUCAUAUAUAAGAAUACAGUGGUCAUCUUGGCUUGAAUUAUCAGUUAUGCAGCCCUUUGCAUUUUGCCUUUUGGA
Molecule: long non-coding RNA, 2057 nt
Organism: Salvia splendens (bonfire salvia)
Lineage: Eukaryota; Viridiplantae; Streptophyta; Magnoliopsida; Lamiales; Lamiaceae
Exons: 4
Source: RefSeq, a predicted model, not a curated record